RNAcentral lists this microRNA (21 nucleotides) under Aedes aegypti (yellow fever mosquito). RNAcentral's name for it is "Aae-Mir-10-P3_3p* (star (passenger))". Lineage: Eukaryota; Metazoa; Arthropoda; Insecta; Diptera; Culicidae. RNAcentral also lists the same sequence under 7 other names. The record is from RNAcentral.
ACAAGUUUUGAUCUCCGGUAU